Molecule: ribosomal RNA, 1041 nt
Filed under: Triticum aestivum (bread wheat)
Lineage: Eukaryota; Viridiplantae; Streptophyta; Magnoliopsida; Poales; Poaceae
Description: partial small subunit ribosomal RNA
Source: RNAcentral
AUGUUGGGAGCCUGCUACCUGUUUGAUGGCCACCAUGGAUCUGGAGCGGCCAUAUACGCAAAGAGCAAUCUGCUGAACAAUGUCCUGCGUGCAGUGCUUCCACGCAGGGAUGACUGGCUUGCAGUGCUUCCACGUUCACUCGUUGCAGCAUUUGUCAAGACAGAUAAGGAUUUGCAAGCCGCAGCUGAAAGUUCUGGUACAACUGUGACAUUUGUGAUAAUAGACGAGUGGGUUGUAACAGUAGCAUCGGUUGGUGAUUCACGCUGCAUACUAGAGUCAGCUGAUGGUUCCCUAUACCAUUUGUCAGCUGAUCAUCGCUUUGACUCCAACCGAGACGAGGUGGAACGUGUAACUGCAUGGGGAAGCAAGGUUGGACAACUGAAUGUUGUUGGUGGUCCAGAGGUUGGUCCUUUAAGAUGCUGGCCAGGUGGUUUGUGCCUAUCUAGAUCAAUCGGGGAGAUGUAUGUUGGUGAAUGCAUCAUCCCUGUUCCUCAUGUGAAGCAAGUGAAGCUAUCCCAUGCUGGAGGCAGAAUUAUCAUUGCAAGCGAUGGUGUAUGGGAUGAUUUGACUUUUGAAAUGGCUCUUGAAUGUUCUCGUGGAUACCCUUCUGAUAUAGCGGCCAAUCGAAUUGUCAAUGAAGCAAUCCUACCUCGAGGACUAAGAGAUGAUACUACCUGCAUCGUGGUGGACAUACUACCUCCAGAAAAACUAGCUCCUAGUCCUCCAACAAAGUGGCAGGGGAAAACCGUACUCAAUAAUAUGUUCCGCGUUGAUCUGAAAAAUAACAUGUUCCACCGAAAAAAAUCAGAUGCAUCUUUUAAACUAGAUAGAGAAUAUGCUGAGCCGGAUGUGGUGGAAGAAAUAUUCGAGGACGGGUCUGCCAUGCUUUCAAGAAGAUAUAUUCUGUUAACCAACAUUCUAGGCCUUUUUUCACUUGGGGUGCUAGCUAGGAGCUCGAUAACAGUUCUAAGAGAGAAGGACAUAAAUAUUCCAUUGCACAUCAUUAGGAUUGUCCAUUGUGUUGCAAGACAUGUGCAUUAG